RNAcentral lists this ribosomal RNA (477 nucleotides) under uncultured bacterium. Its description in RNAcentral is "partial 16S ribosomal RNA". It matches the Rfam family "Bacterial small subunit ribosomal RNA", at positions 28 to 507 of the family's 1533-position model. The record is from RNAcentral.
GAUGAACGCUGGCGGCGUGCUUAAUACAUGCAAGUCGAGCGAACAGACGAGGAGCUUGCUGCUCUCUCGUUAGCCGAGGACGGGUGUGUAACAUGUGUAUAACCUACUUAUCAGUCUGGGAUCUCUUCGGAACACCGGCGCUUAUACCGGAUGAUCUCUUGCUCCGUAUUGUUCAAUAGUGAAAGACGGCUUUGCUGUCGGUUGGGGAUGGAUCCGCGCCUUAUUAGCUAGUUGGUAGGGUAGGGGCUUACCACGGCUACGCUGGGUAGCCGGCCUGAGAGGGUGACCGGCGACAGUGGGACUGAGAUACGGCCCAGACUCCUACGGGAGGCAGCAGUGGGGAAUAUUGCAGAAUGGGCGGAAGUCUGAUGCAGCAACGUCGGGUGCGGGAUGACGGCCUUCGGGUUGUAAACAGCUUUCGAAUGUGACGAAGCGUGAGUGACGGUAAUGGGUAAAGAAGCACCGGCUAACUACGUG